Molecule: ribosomal RNA, 433 nt
Filed under: uncultured Bacillota bacterium
Lineage: Bacteria; Bacillati; Bacillota
Description: bacterial SSU rRNA
Rfam family: Bacterial small subunit ribosomal RNA
Source: RNAcentral
CGGUGGAGCAUGUGGUUUAAUUCGAAGCAACGCGAAGAACCUUACCAGGUCUUGACAUCCUCUGACAAUCCUAGAGAUAGCUUCCCGGCAGAUACAGGUGUGACGAGCGCAACCCUUGUCCUUAGUUGCCAGCGGGAUGUCAAAUAUCAUGCCCCUUAUGACCUGGCUACAUACAUGGAUGGUACAAGGGUUGCGAGACCGCGAGGUUUAGCCUCCCAUAAAACCAUUCUCAGUUCGGAUUGUAGUGCAACUCGCCUACAUGAAGCCGGAAUCGCUAGUAAUCGGGAUCAGCAUGCCACGGUGAAUACGUUCCCGGGUCUUGUACACACCGCCGUCACACCACGAGAGUUUGUAACACCCGAAGUCGGUGGGGUAACCGCAAGGAGCCAGCCGCCUAAGUGGGACAGAUGAUUGGGGUGAAGUCGUACAAGGU